UACGAAGGGGGCUAGCGUUGCUCGGAAUCACUGGGCGUAAAGCGCACGUAGGCGGAUCUUUAAGUCAGGGGUGAAAUCCCGGCGCUCAACUCCGGAACUGCCUUUGAUACUGGAGAUCUUGAGUCCGGGAGAGGUGAGUGGAACUGCGAGUGUAGAGGUGAAAUUCGUAGAUAUUCGCAAGAACACCAGUGGCGAAGGCGGCUCACUGGCCCGGUACUGACGCUGAGGUGCGAAAGCGUGGGGAGCAAACAGGA
Molecule: ribosomal RNA, 254 nt
Filed under: uncultured prokaryote
Description: partial 16S ribosomal RNA
Rfam family: Bacterial small subunit ribosomal RNA
Source: RNAcentral